This 522-nucleotide ribosomal RNA is filed under the name Triticum aestivum (bread wheat). RNAcentral describes it as "partial small subunit ribosomal RNA". Lineage: Eukaryota; Viridiplantae; Streptophyta; Magnoliopsida; Poales; Poaceae. The record is from RNAcentral.
GCGAAGCAGCGUCGUCUGCCUUUCCCUAUGCAAGCUGUGUAUCGCGCAACUGAACAUUUGCAACUAGUGCAUGGUGACUUGUGUGGCCCAAUCACACCAGAGACCCCCGGUGGCAAGAAGUAUUUUCUGCUCCUUGUCGAUGAUUACUCCCGGUAUAUGUGGGUAGUACUAUUGCGCAGCAAGGAUGAAGCACUGGGGGCCUUGAAAAAGAUUCAGAAAGCAGCUGAGACCGAACGAAAUCGGAAACUUAAGGCACUAAGGACUGACAGGGGUGGAGAGUUCACAUCAAAGGAAUUUGUGGAGCACUGUGAUGAACAUGGCAUCAAGCAUUUUCUCACGGCACCAUACACCCCGCAGCACAAUGGUGUCGUUGAGAGAAGAAAUCAGACUGUAGUUGGGAUGGCCAGGAGUCUUCUCAAGAGUUUGGGUGUGCCUGCAAAGUUUUGGGGAGAAGCUGUGUGCACUGCAGUGUAUCUCCUCAACAGAUCCACUACAAAAAGUGUGAAGAACAUGACCCCAUAU